GUUCGGCUGAGCACUCUAGGGAGACUGCCUUCGCAAGGAGGAGGAAGGUGAGGACGACGUCAAGUCGAUCAUGGCCCUUACGGCCAGGGCUACACACGUGCGUACAAUGGGGCGUACAGAGAGCUGCGAUACCGCGAGGUGGAGCCAAGUCUCUUAAAGCGUCUCUCAGUUCGGAUUGUUCUCUGCAACUCGAGAACAUGAAGCUGGAAUCACUAGUAAUCGCAGAUCAGCUAUGCUGCGGUGAAUACGUUCCCGGGUCUU
Molecule: ribosomal RNA, 261 nt
Filed under: uncultured Sulfuricurvum sp.
Lineage: Bacteria; Pseudomonadati; Campylobacterota; Epsilonproteobacteria; Campylobacterales; Sulfurimonadaceae
Description: partial 16S ribosomal RNA
Rfam family: Bacterial small subunit ribosomal RNA
Source: RNAcentral